Molecule: small RNA, 264 nt
Filed under: Pan troglodytes (chimpanzee)
Lineage: Eukaryota; Metazoa; Chordata; Mammalia; Primates; Hominidae
Description: processed transcript
Source: RNAcentral
UUGCCAUUCCAGGCCAGGCAGGGCCAAGGGGCUUCAGGGACCCAUGCCCUCAUGGGGCUCACUGAGCUCGUCUCCCGGCAGCCAAGGCCCUGGCGUCUCCAAAUGAAGCCAGCUGUGGGGGAAGGUCCUUCUCAUGAGCCAGUCUGUCCUGGCUGGGGGUGGCAUCCCAGAGCCCCAUCUAGGAUGCCCAGGGAUGUAUAGUUCAUGCCGUGGAGGAAGUGGUGAAGGAGGUGGUGGGACAUGCCAAGGAGACUGGAGAGAAAG